GAUGAACGCUAGCUACAGGCUUAACACAUGCGAGUCGAGGGGAAACGAUGAGAGAGCUUGCUCUCUUAGUCGUCGACCGGCGCACGGGUGAGUAACGCGUAUCCAACCUGCCUCUGACCAAGGGAUAACCCGUCGAAAGUCGGACUAAUACCUUAUGCAGUCGUCGGAAGUCAUCUGAUGACGACGAAAGAUUUCAUCGGUGAGAGAUGGGGAUGCGUCUGAUUAGCUUGUUGGCGGGGUAACGGCCCACCAAGGCGACGAUCAGUAGGGGUUCUGAGAGGAAGGUCCCCCACAUUGGAACUGAGACACGGUCCAAACUCCUACGGGAGGCAGCAGUGAGGAAUAUUGGUCAAUGGGCGUAAGCCUGAACCAGCCAAGUAGCGUGCAGGAUGACGGCCCUAUGGGUUGUAAACUGCUUUUAUGCGGGGAUAAAGUGAGGGACGUGUCCUUCAUUGCAGGUACCGCAUGAAUAAGGACCGGCUAAUUCCGUG
RNAcentral lists this ribosomal RNA (491 nucleotides) under uncultured bacterium. Its description in RNAcentral is "partial 16S ribosomal RNA". It matches the Rfam family "Bacterial small subunit ribosomal RNA", at positions 28 to 507 of the family's 1533-position model. The record is from RNAcentral.